Molecule: long non-coding RNA, 2837 nt
Organism: Humulus lupulus (European hop)
Lineage: Eukaryota; Viridiplantae; Streptophyta; Magnoliopsida; Rosales; Cannabaceae
Exons: 3
Source: RefSeq, a predicted model, not a curated record
CCCAAGCGAACAAGAAUUUCACAUUUUAAUGGCCCAUCUUUUCCAAUUAAUUCAAUUAAAGCCUCCUUACAGUUGCUAUCCACCUCAAAUAUACCAACUUGAGUGAGUUUUGUUUUGAUCUCCACUUACUAUCACUCAAUGCAUUUAUGUUAGUGUCUCGUAAAGACACAUAAACAAACAAGCUGCUUAUGCCAGACUUGAAUGCUUUUUGACAUUCUAUUUUUGUACUUCAUGGGUUCUACUCGCUUGUAUAUUCUAGUUUGUACAAAUAGAUACUCUUCUAUGCUUUUAGGCAAUUAUAGUGUCACGAAAUGCUCAUCAAUAGCCUACAUACGAGCAUAGGCUUUAAAACAAAGAAGGGCAAUCAGAUCCUAUUGUCUCCUCAAAUAAAUGCAUUUGACUGAUUAGAUUGCUCUUAGCGUGCUUUAGAUAAACGAACAACUCUUUCAUGUUUACGUAUUAGAUCCUUUUUAUGGUUUUAUUCACCCUACUAGUACUCAUAUGGGCGAACAAGCCUCGUACUAUGUAUGCGAACAAAACCUAACUCUUUUCUUAUCUUUUUAGGUACUUGGUUUGUUCGAUCACUAAGCUGUCCAACAUUUUUCAUGAUCCAGUUAGGCCUUGGUCUCUAAAGUGUAUAGGGAUCUGCUCAUCCAUAUUUGCUUCUGAUCUGCAACCAGGUCCAUGCCUCCCAAGAAAUCAAGAGCUUUAAGGAAGAGGAAGGAGGUUGAUUAUACUGAAAAAGGGCUCGGAGAAAUAUUUAGCUCGAAAGGUUUUGUGAUAUCGAGAUCCACUUUUUCUACAAGUGAUCUCUCUCAUUCAGUAGACAAAUAUGGACUCAUUGGCGAGCUUAGGCUUAAAGUCCUUGCUAAUGAUGAAUGAGCAGACUCCCAACCAGAAGAAUAUACUGCUUGGAGUCCCAUGCAUUGUCAAGGAGGCACCUUCCUUCCACUUCACACAUAUUUUGUGGGAAUAUGUGAUUAUUUUGGAAUAGCCAUGUUUCAGUUGACGCUAAACAGUUACAAAUUAUUGGCAGUGCUACGUAUUUUGUAUAGAGUGCUAGAUUGGCGUUCUCCUGAUGCUUUGGCGGUAUAAUACUUUUUCAAUAUCAAGUCCAAUCGUGCAUCAGGUUCUGAAGGGUUCUACCACUUGUGUAGCUAUUUUGGUGGAGAAGUUCUCAGGAGUGGUGUUUCCAAUCUUGGUCGUUAUUUCAGUCAGUACUUUUUUACCAAUGCCAUCAAAUUUGAGCAUAGGCUCUUCUGUGAUAUUGGCCGCUAUCGACGACCAACUCCAACCUCUGAGAUGCAAGAACGCCUUUCUCAGUUACGAGGAUUGGGUGAUAAGUAUAGGAAUGUGUAUUUCCUCAUUAAUGAAAACAAUUUGCAAUUGGUCGAUAUCCUUGAACCACACCACUCAUUGGAUCAUCUAUCUCCCCUUCUGGAGUUUGACUACGUUUCCUUUUUUGAGGUUUGGAAGUCUAUGCAUGAGGGGCGAUCAGAGGAGGUUACUGAUCUUGUUCUAAAUGAAUAUUUCAUUGCUAUUCGUGACGAGCCAAAGUUAGCGCGUUUUGAGGUUUUACCUGCUCGUUCUUCCCCGAGUAGUUUUUGUUCUACAUUGCCCAACUGUCCAGAAUUUGAUUUAUCGCAUGUGCCUCUCCCUUUUGAUUCUUUUAGUGAUGUGGAAGGUUUAAAUCUAUCCCCUAGAAAUGGGGAGCGAACUUUCCCUCAUUGGGUAGAUGAAUAUCUUCCAGAGAGAGCUUUCAAUGCCAAUAGUCUUUCUGGUAUAUUAUUGAUUUUUUAAUGCAUUCUGAAUGCUAUGUAUUCUUUUACUCUUGCAUUUUAUCUUACCAUUUUUCUUUGAGAGGAUGCAUGAAUGCUCGGGCUUUGUUUGGUGGCCCCAAAUUUGUAGGUGCAAGGGCUAGCAAGAGGAGAAAACAAUCAACGAACAAGGAUAAAGGGACCCUUCCAGAGUCUUCUUCUGCUCGUCUAGGCCAAAGUCGACCUCCUGUUGGGGUUACACAACCGUCUCAUGCAGCGACUACUAGUGAGGUCCCCACGAAUAGGUACUUUUCUUUCUCACUACCUACUCGUGCUCAAAUGGUGGUGCCUAGAUUUGAGGAGGUUAUUUAGAGUGACCAGGUACGUGCAAAAUGGUCAUUCUCCAGAGUUUGCAUCACCAACGAGAUCGUUCGCCAUUCCAUUGACAGCACUGUUCAGACAAUGAUCACCUUGACCAACCUAUCUGAGUCUAUCGAGCAAUUGAAGAAGGACAAGGAGGAUGCAUGUCGUACCCAAAUGGUUGAAGUAGAGACUAUUCGUGGCAAGAGGAACACUUAUAGGACUGAGCUUGAGCAACUCAAGAGCUCCUCUUGUACUGGGAUCAAUCAACUAAAGGCUGAGAUUGAUUAGCUCCAGAAGUCUCAUGUUGCUGAGAUUGGGCAGCUUAAAGCUGAUGCUGAAGUUGAUGGCCUUCAAACUCUUGAAGAAGAAGGAAAGAUCAUAAAUAACAUGUUCUUUCAGGUAUAGAAACGCAACCACAGUAUUGAUUUAUCAUUUUUGAAUGGCGGAGAGAAGUCCCUACUAAAGGCUUGCGAACAGAAACUUGUUGAGGAGAAAAAUACUUCUGUUCUCACCUCACUAGUGCAGCCAGGGGAUGGUGAUGCUAGUUCAAGACUCGUAGAUCUUGUGACUAGCACUUUUGUUGACCCUUUAGCUACCUCGGGUGACCAGAUCCCUCGGCCAAAGCCUUGAUAGCUUAGUCUCUAGUGCACCUCAUGUUCGAGUAUUUUGUAUUGGCAAACUUUUAACUAUCUUUAUUUUGUGUUGUAGUAUGUACUU